UGCAAGUCGAGCGGUAACAGGUGUAGCAAUACAUGCUGACGAGCGGCGAACGGGUGAGUAAUGCUUCGGAAUCUGCCCAAUGGUGGGGAAUAACCAGCCGAAAGGUUGGCUAAUACCGCAUAAGUCCUACGGGAGAAAGCAGGGGAUCGUAAGACCUUGCGCCGAUGGAUGAGCCGAAGCCGGAUUAGCUAGUUGGUAGGGUAACGGCCUACCAAGGCGACGAUCCGUAGCUGGUCUGAGAGGACGACCAGCCACACUGGGACUGAGACACGGCCCAGACUCCUACGGGAGGCAGCAGUGGGGAAUAUUGGACAAUGGGGGAAACCCUGAUCCAGCGACGCCGCGUGUGUGAAGAAGGCCUGCGGGUUGUAAAGCACUUUUAGUGGGGAUGAAAAGCUCAGGGCUAAUACCUCUGGGUCUUGACCUAACCCAAAGAAAAAGCACCGGCUAACUCUGUGCCAGCAGCCGCGGUAAUACAGAGGGUGCAAGCGUUAAUCGGAAUUACUGGGCGUAAAGCGUGCGUAGACGGUUACAUAAGUCGGGUGUGAAAGCCCCGGGCUCAACCUGGGAAUUGCAUUCGAGACUGCGUAGCUAGGGUGCGGAAGAGGGAAGCGGAAUUUCAGGUGUAGCGGUGAAAUGCGUAGAUAUCUGAAGGAACACCAGUGGCGAAAGCGGCUUCCUGGUCCAGCACCGACGUUCAGGCACGAAAGCGUGGGGAGCAAACAGGAUUAGAUACCCUGGUAGUCCACGCCAUAAACGAUGAGAACUAGACGUUGAGAGGGUAAGCCUCCCAGUGUCGUAGCUAACGCGCUAAGUUCUCCGCCUGGGGAGUACGGCCGCAAGGUUGAAACUC
This 853-nucleotide ribosomal RNA is filed under the name uncultured Gammaproteobacteria bacterium. RNAcentral's name for it is "bacterial SSU rRNA". It matches the Rfam family "Bacterial small subunit ribosomal RNA", at positions 56 to 902 of the family's 1533-position model. The record is from RNAcentral. Lineage: Bacteria; Pseudomonadati; Pseudomonadota; Gammaproteobacteria.